UGCUAUCCAGCCAUCCAGUAUGUAGUUCAGAUGCAUCAAAUCCUGCUUAGUCAUCUUAGCAGGUUGCCAGCUCUGUUUUGGGCCUAUAGACAGACAUGUUGAAUAACAAAUUAAAUAGUCAAACAAAGUGUGAAAUCAAAGGAUUAAAUGCUUUUUUUUUUUUUUUUUUUUUUUUUUUUUUUUGUCGUCAUCCAAGUGACAAACCUAGAUGCAUUGAGCCUAAGGGCAUCUAGAUUCAGGAGCUAGGUAAUGUCAUAUGAAAAACCAGCUAUGUUGUAAUCUUAAGUAUUUGGCCCAGCAUCACCCAGGGAGAGGACAUCAGGGAGUUUUCUCUAGUAUUAUCAGGGAAUUCCUGACACCAAAAUCCCUUGUGUAGCAAAAAGGCCAGCUGUGGCACUCACACUGUUAUUUAGCUCUGACAAUUCAGCCCUGUCGGAGUCCUGUUAAUUUACAUCAGACACUAAUUGGCACCAAUCUUUGAAACAAGCUUCCUAAUACAAGACUUAAUACUUGGCCAGGCAUUGUUAGAUAAAUUACAGGAACAAGAAUACAUCUCAUUGUAAUGUUUUGGAUGAAUAGUUGGAGGAUGCCCAAGCCCCAUAUGGUGACAGAGGUUCCAGUCGGUUCAGCAGUUUCCUGUGACCCCAGAAAAAGUGAGGCAGGCUGUGCCCCAGAGUUGUCCUGGACUGGAAGAAGAGGAUGAUCAGGCUGUACUGAACCCUCCUUGAUGAUGAGUGUGUGCCACAUGACGUCUUCAGAUAUCCAACCCUCAGGAAGCUUUGAUUGUUGUGGCUUCACAUAAGCUCACCAAGCCCUGCACACUGCCUUGACCUCCUGAUCUCCAGCCCCCGCAAGUCUGCAAACCUCUCUGCAACGUAGCAUGCCAACAUUGCACAACUCAGCUGACUAAACACAAACUAUGGCCAUUAAUGAACAAUGUAAACCUGACAAGAUGCAUCUUCUUGGAACCCAAGUCCUGCAAACGUUUGCACAAACUGUGUACCACCUAACCAGCAACGGAAUCAUCAAACCACGUCCCUCAAAGUGCUUAGGAGGCUCUUUUUUGCCAUCAGACUUGCCACUACUUGACACAACACAAACUGGACACCCAUCUGGGGAAAAUGCAACCACAACAUGAUUGGGAGAAGGACAUUCUGUAACUGUAUUUAUAUAUUGUAUUUGUAUGAUGAUUCUCUGAAGUGGGUAUUCAGCCCAUAGAAAAUGUACUAUGAUUCCAUUUGAAAUGUGUAUUGGUAUCUGAAGUACAUGUAUGCUCCUGUGUUGGAUAUCAAGUAAAAUCAUUGCUUGCUUCUUAA
Molecule: long non-coding RNA, 1316 nt
Organism: Lates calcarifer (barramundi perch)
Lineage: Eukaryota; Metazoa; Chordata; Actinopteri; Centropomidae
Exons: 2
Source: RefSeq, a predicted model, not a curated record